Molecule: non-coding RNA, 186 nt
Filed under: Acholeplasmataceae bacterium
Lineage: Bacteria; Bacillati; Mycoplasmatota; Mollicutes; Acholeplasmatales; Acholeplasmataceae
Also listed under: 1 other name
Description: 6S RNA
Rfam family: 6S / SsrS RNA
About the family: E. coli 6S RNA was the first non coding RNA to be sequenced, but its function was unknown until recently. It consists of 184 nucleotides that fold into an extended hairpin structure with a large single-stranded internal bulge.
Source: RNAcentral
GGUCUCCUGGGAAGUUCGCGUUUUUAUCAAUAUUGCGAACCGAACAACUCAGAUAUCGGAAGUUGAGGCAUAUUUGGCGUCGAAUGCUUAUCUUUGAAUAAGAAUCCCGAGAAUAUGCAGACAGAGACUUCCACCUUGUGAAAUUUUUGGUUUCACAAAGAAUAAAUAACGGCUUCCUGGGGACAU